AGUGAACGCUGGCGGUAGGCCUAACACAUGCAAGUCGAACGGCAGCACAGUAAGAGCUUGCUCUUACGGGUGGCGAGUGGCGGACGGGUGAGGAAUACAUCGGAAUCUACUUUUUCGUGGGGGAUAACGUAGGGAAACUUACGCUAAUACCGCAUACGACCUACGGGUGAAAGCAGGGGAUCUUCGGACCUUGCGCGAUUGAAUGAGCCGAUGUCGGAUUAGCUAGUUGGCGGGGUAAAGGCCCACCAAGGCGACGAUCCGUAGCUGGUCUGAGAGGAUGAUCAGCCACACUGGAACUGAGACACGGUCCAGACUCCUACGGGAGGCAGCAGUGGGGAAUAUUGGACAAUGGGCGCAAGCCUGAUCCAGCCAUACCGCGUGGGUGAAGAAGGCCUUCGGGUUGUAAAGCCCUUUUGUUGGGAAAGAAAAGCAGCAGGAUAAUACCCCGCUGUUCUGACGGUACCCAAGGAAUAAGCACCGGCUAACUUCGUG
RNAcentral lists this ribosomal RNA (492 nucleotides) under uncultured bacterium. RNAcentral describes it as "partial 16S ribosomal RNA". It matches the Rfam family "Bacterial small subunit ribosomal RNA", at positions 29 to 507 of the family's 1533-position model. The record is from RNAcentral.